RNAcentral lists this long non-coding RNA (539 nucleotides) under Ananas comosus (pineapple). RNAcentral describes it as "long non-coding RNA (ACOM_LNC020664)". Lineage: Eukaryota; Viridiplantae; Streptophyta; Magnoliopsida; Poales; Bromeliaceae. The record is from RNAcentral.
UUAUCUUGAAUAAUAGGAUAUAAAAAUAAAUUUAUAUAAUUUAAUCUAAUCGAUAAAUUUAUAUAAUUUACAAAGUAUUAUAAAUAAUAAAUUAGGAUUAAUUUCAUACAGAUCCCUACAAACAUAAUGAAUAGCAAAUAUAUCCUUACAAAGUUUAACUUUCAUAUAUUGUCUCUACAAAAAUCUUGAUGUUUUCAAGUAUAUCCCUGCCGUUAGAAUCAAUUAGAAAAAUUAAGUUAAUCAUCAGCUAAAUACUUAACCUUGUUAGUUUUUAACAUUUUUAUCUCUCUUAUAUUAUAUUGUUAUGAUUUUUGAAGGGGCAUAUUUGUAAUGACAAAAUUGAAAAUAUAAACAGUUUUCUAACAAUAACAAACCAGAGAGACGUAUUUGAAAAUAUUACGACUUUUGUAGAAAUAACAUAUAAAAGUUGAAUUUUAUAAGAAUAUAUUUAUCAUUCACUAUAUUUAAAGAAAUAUGUAUGAAAUUAACCCUAUAAAUAUAUGUUUGUAAGAAGUAUUUCCAGUAUGAAUGCAUUUAAA